This 73-nucleotide transfer RNA is filed under the name Fusochloris perforata. Its description in RNAcentral is "tRNA-Thr". It matches the Rfam family "tRNA". From Rfam's summary of the family: Transfer RNA (tRNA) molecules are approximately 80 nucleotides in length. Lineage: Eukaryota; Viridiplantae; Chlorophyta; Trebouxiophyceae; Microthamniales; Microthamniaceae. The record is from RNAcentral.
GCUUCCUUAACUCAGCAGGUAGAGUAUUUGCAUGGUAAGUAAAAAGUCGUCGGUUCAAUUCCGGCAGGAAGCA